RNAcentral lists this ribosomal RNA (3562 nucleotides) under Monomorphina reeuwykiana. RNAcentral's name for it is "partial large subunit ribosomal RNA". It matches the Rfam family "Eukaryotic large subunit ribosomal RNA", at positions 33 to 2421 of the family's 3401-position model. Lineage: Eukaryota; Euglenozoa; Euglenophyceae; Euglenales; Euglenaceae. The record is from RNAcentral.
UUUAAGCAUAUCACUCAGUGGAGGAAAGACAAGCAACCGCGAUUGCCCCAGUAAUGGCGAAUGAAUUGGCAACACAAAUCUGUGGCUCAUCCUGAAGUGGAUUCCCUUUCAGCACUGUCCCCCUGGGGCAGCUUGCGUUCGGCUAACGUGGAUUCCAGCAGAUGCUGUGGGUUGUGGAGUGGUCAGCAUGCCAUGGGUGAGGACUGUGCCAGGAAGGGCCCUGGAAUGGCCCACACCAGAGGGAGAGUGUCCCAUACCACCUGUGUGUGGUCCUUGUCUGUGGCAUUGCUGGUUGCAUCCAGGAGUAGAGUGGCUUGGGACUGCAGUUUGAAGUGCAAGGUGUAUCCAUUGCAAGGCAGAAUACUGGCCUGGGACCGAUAGAGCACAAGUAGAGUGAUUGAAGGAUGCAAAGGACUUUGCAAAGAGGGUUAAAAGUCCCUGAAGCUGGGGCAGCAACGGCGGAGAGUGGAGUUGUUGAUCUGUCUGGUCCCCCAGAGGAAACAGCCCACCACACGUGGGAGAGGCUGCUGGGCCCUGUGACCAUGACAUGGAAUUGCAUUCCAAGCAACCUUGGGCCAGCCCAGAGCUGGCUAAUGAGCCCUGCCCCCAGGGGAAGGAUGCUAUCUUGGCAGUAUCUGGUGACACAUUGUGUGCCUGGGCCUGAGGCUGGAGAUUGUGACCUGGUGGUGAUCCCAUUCCAAGGAUGAUGGUGUGUGACCUGUGCAAGGACCCUCUGUUGAGGCAGGACAUAUCUGGCAGCCCAUCCUGGAACAACCCAAAGAACACGGUGUGAAGUGACCCUCCCUGGUGUGUCCACGGACAUGCCAGUCACUGUGCCUGGACAUGGCUUGGGGCUGGUGGAUGCAUGGUGGCUGCACCACCUAUGGUUGGUGGCUCCUGUGUGACUGCUGGCCCCCCAGACAGAGCAUGGUGUGAGAAGCAGUGGUGCUUGGGCCAUCAGUGCCACCCUCUGCCCGUCUUGAAACACGGACCAAGGAGUCUAUGGAGCUUGCGAGAAGUUGGAAGGUCCCUAUGGAAACCGCAGUGCAUGGUGAAGGCAACAGACCCAGAUGGUGAAUACACAGGGAGAGCAAUUGACUGGUUGGCCCCUGGUCCUGGAAGAUGACCACCGGUCUGUAUUAGCCUUCUGGAGCCUUCUGAGGCUGAUACAGCUGUUGCAUAGGGGAACCACUGUGCCAAAUUGGAGAUAUUACUGCAUGGGUCACCAGUCCUGAAGCCCAAUGGACAAGGUUCUGAGUGAUUGCAAGGUCCCUGGGACCCGAAAGGUGGUGAACUAUACCAUUCUAUGGUGAAGCCUUGGGAAACUGAGGUGGAGGCCAGUAGCUGUUCUGACGUGCAAAUUGUGUAGCCUGAGUGUGGCAUAGGGGUGAAAGGCCAAUCGAGCCACCUAGUAGCUGGUUUCCUUUGAAGUUUCCCUCAGGAUAGCUGGGCCUGAAUGCAACCCACCUGAGAGGUUACGUCUGGUAAAGCAACGCAUGAGAGGCAACACCUGGGGAGGCCUUCCUCCUCAACCUAUUCUCGAACUGUGAAUGGGCGUGGACACACCCACCAAUGCAAGCUUCUUCACUGUGCUAGAGUCUGUCCUUGAGCAGUCCUCUUUGGCUUUCUGAGCAUGUUGCUGAGGUGGCAGCCUGGACCACCACCACCACCACACACAAGACCAGUUCAGGGUGGGACAAAUCCAGGCUUGAAAGCAAGGGGAUGACCCAAUGUGUGUGCCUCUCUGUGAGGCUGCUCUGGUGUCUCCCCUGUGCCUGGGGCCUGACUGGCUGUGUGGUGUGUGAAACCCCCAUGGGGAGAUAUUUGUGAGUGCCAAGAGCAGAGCUGCCACCCCUUGGUGAACAGACAUGCCUAUGUGGACCAUGAUUGGUAAGCAGUGCUGGUGAUGCGGGAUGCUCCGAGAGUGGACUUACAGGUCCAGAGUGCUGGCUCAUACCCAGAUCCCACAAAGGAUGUUGCUUGCUAGAGAUAGCAGGACGGUGGCCAUGAAGGUUGGAAUCCGCCAAGGAAUGUGUAACAACUCACCUGCCGAAGCGUGCAGUUCCGAAAAUGGAUGGUGCCCAAGUCAGUGAAGCUGAAUUUGCCUUACAGUCCACUGCCACUGUGGCAGCAACAAGCAGAGCAUUGGCAUGUAAGAAGGACAUGGAGGAUUGCAGUGCCUGCUGGGGUUGCCCCUGGCUUGAGUGUCCUCUGGCGCAGAUCUUGGUUGCAGUAGCAAGUACUCCAUCGGGUGAAGAGCAGAACAACCCUGCUAUGUGUGGUUGAGGACUGGAGUGGAGCAGGUUUCCACAACAAACAGCCGUUGAAUGUGGGUCAGCCGACCGUGAGCCAAGUGGUAAAUUCACUGAACAACCAAAGCUGCUGUGCCCCCCUGGGGCUGUCCCUUGUGACUUCUGUUGGAACCUUGGACCUGGGUUGAAUGACACUGCCCUCUUUCCCUCCUCCCAGGAGGAUCUGGGCUGUGGGUCACAACCCCACUGUGUCCAUGCCCUGAUGGCUAAAUGUGUGAAGUAUGGCAGGAAUGGCAAACAGGCAAGCAGACGCAACAUUCUGCUGCAAUGGGCCUGGGGUGCUCUGAGUGGUGACUCUCCACAUUGCUGGACCAAGCAGGCCUCGGGGCAGUGGACCCCCUGAGGAGUUCUCUUUUCCUCCUGAUGCAGGUUCAUGUGGGCUAUUGAUUGGCAUGACAGAUGGUGGCAUAAGCCCUCCACCCAGCAGGGCAGCCUCUCCUUUAAACCAGCUGAUGGUCUCAACAUGGUGUCUUGUGACUCUGAGUGGAAGCAGCAACAAAACCCCUGUGAGGGCAAGGGAAGCCUCUCCCGAUGAGUGAUGAAUGUGUGCAAGAACAGCCUUUCUGGCAGUCACUGGCUCCAGUGAAAGUCCUGUGGGGACCAUGUGCCCCUAACCCCUGGGUUCUCGUACCGAAUCACCGCAGCUGGUCUCCUCGGCUAGACGCCACUAGUCCACAGAUUGAAUGCAGCUAAGGGAAGUCGGCAAACUGGCUGUGUACCUUGGGAAGAUGCAGUGGCUCCAGAGGCCAAGUCAUGCUGGGACCCAACACUACUUGUUUACCAACACGGCGGGGAUGGUGUGGUUGAGGUGUGGCAUUCACGUGCCACUCUGAGGCCUGCCAGCCCAGUAGAGCAGUGCUGAAAGGACUGGAUCAUGUGCAAUUGGUGAGUGACGAAUCAAAAGGCACUCAGCCCCAUGGCUGCUGAGUGGCCCAUUUGGAACUGAUGCUGUGCAGGGGAAUCUGACUGUUUAAUUGAAACCCAGCUUUGUGAAGGGACCAGCUGGCUGGUUCCAUGAGGUGACUUCUGCCCAGUGCUCUGAUUGUCAUUACGAAGAGAUUCAGUAAAGCGCGGGUAAACGGCGGGAGUAACUAUGACUCUCUUAAGGUAGCCAAAUGCCUCGUCAACCAAUUAUUGACGCGCAUGAAUGGAUCAACGAGAUUCCUGCUGUCCCUAGGUGCUGUCUGGUGAACCAACCGCCAAGGGAACGGGCUUGGAUGUGUCAGCGGGGAAAGAAGAGCCUGUUGAGA